This 319-nucleotide unclassified non-coding RNA is filed under the name Hevea brasiliensis (rubber tree). The record is from RNAcentral. Lineage: Eukaryota; Viridiplantae; Streptophyta; Magnoliopsida; Malpighiales; Euphorbiaceae.
AGUAAAGUGCUCUUAGCUCUACCAUGUACUUUAUGGGUAUGAUAGACGUCACAGCUGCUAAAGUGAGUAGAAUUGCCACGAUAAGCAGCCAAGAUGGCUGGCCAAGUAGGUUUUGAUGCAAUGAAGCCAUAGAUGGAGAUGUCAUCAGAUGACUGACGAGCUGCUUUAAUUAUGUCAGAAUGAUAUGUCCACGCCAAUGGUAUUGGUGGCUGCAUUAAAAUAAACAAUGCACCUGUUGCCACCACAAGCACUAAGCAUCUCUUUGCAGACAAGACAUGAGAGAAGUGCAUAGCAACAAUUGGUACACAAGCCAAUCCCG